CCUCCGUUUAUUUUUCGUUUUUUCGUGCCUAACGUUUGAUCAUUCGUUUUAAUUAAAAAAAAUUUACGAUUAAUAUUUUUAUUGUUACUGAAUGAUAAAAUAUAAAUAGUACUUUAUACGUGACUAAUUUUUUUAAAUUUUUCUACAAUUUUUUUAAUUAGACGAAUAAUCAACCGUUAGACACGAAAAACAAAAAAUAACGUUAUU
Molecule: microRNA precursor, 207 nt
Filed under: Oryza brachyantha (malo sina)
Lineage: Eukaryota; Viridiplantae; Streptophyta; Magnoliopsida; Poales; Poaceae
Description: MIR812 microRNA precursor family
Rfam family: MIR812 microRNA precursor family
Source: Rfam by way of RNAcentral